AUGUACAAUGUCAUCCAUAUUGAUGAGAAGUGGUCCUACCGCACUAAAGGUACUCAGAACUACUACUUGGCACCCGAUGAAGAGGAACCCUAUCACAGCACUCAGAGCAAGGGAUUUAUUGAGAAAGUGAUGUUCUUGGCAGCGGUAGCAAGGCCUCGUUAUGAUGAUGAUGGUGUCAUGACAUUUGAUGGCAAGAUUGGAAUUUGGCCGUUCACAUAUCAGGACUUCGCAAAGAGGCGUAGCCCUUAUAGAGAGAGGGGGAAGAGGUAA
Molecule: ribosomal RNA, 270 nt
Filed under: Triticum aestivum (bread wheat)
Lineage: Eukaryota; Viridiplantae; Streptophyta; Magnoliopsida; Poales; Poaceae
Description: partial small subunit ribosomal RNA
Source: RNAcentral